UAUGAUUAAGCUUAAAGAAUGUAGAUCGGCCAAAAAGCAACAAAAAAAAAAUGCAAAAACUAAAUAACGAGAUAAAUAGCUGAAUGUAUAAUGCAUCAGGAAAAUUCACAACAGAUUACAAUCUCACAAAGUAAUAAAACUGGGAAAUGAGAAAACGGCAAUAAAGAUGAGUGUAACAUACUGGUAUUACAAUGAGCUCACAACUCGCCCAUGGCCAGUGGAGAAUCUACACAGGUGUUGCACUGUUGACAAAGAGUCAGCCAUGCUAACUAAACAAGCCGCCAAAGGUGACAGGUGAAGGUGAAACAAAACAAACUUCAGUAGAUAUAAAAUAACAAAACGCUCGAGAGUACGUCUGAUACAUGCGUGUGUUACAUGCGCAGUUACAUUGCAUGUUUAUCGUUGCGUCUAGCGUCUAAAGGUUUUGCUAUCAAUCUGAGAAUCUAUCUUUACAACAUGUUUUACAAUUAGAUUUACUGAAACACCAACAACCCAAGAUGCUCGCCCCUUUCAUCGCUCUUAUCAUUCUACAAGUUCUUGCCCCCUUGGCACACUCAAGGCCUGACUUUUGUGAACUAGCUCCAGAAGUCGGGCCGUGCAAAGCAUUGAUUCCAAGCUUCUAUUUUAACAAAAGCGACAACUCCUGCAAAGAGUUUUUCUAUGGUGGAUGCAGAGGAAACUCCAAUAGAUUCUCGGAUCAAAGUCUCUGCGAAGAUACAUGUUUAUAAAUGUCAACCAUUUCCAUUCAAUUUGGGAAACAUUUUAACAUUUUAGAAAAUAAUCAAAUAAAACAUAACGAGACAUGA
This is an RNA transcript of Biomphalaria glabrata, 806 nucleotides long. It is a transcript of the gene named kunitz-type serine protease inhibitor 2-like, with no coding region annotated. Lineage: Eukaryota; Metazoa; Mollusca; Gastropoda; Planorbidae. The transcript is spliced from 4 exons. The record is from RefSeq and is a predicted model, not a curated record.